RNAcentral lists this ribosomal RNA (497 nucleotides) under uncultured bacterium. Its description in RNAcentral is "partial 16S ribosomal RNA". It matches the Rfam family "Bacterial small subunit ribosomal RNA", at positions 28 to 507 of the family's 1533-position model. The record is from RNAcentral.
GACGAACGCUGGCGGCGUGCCUAAUACAUGCAAGUUGAGCGAUGAAGAUUGGUGCUUGCACCAAUUUGAAGAGCAGCGAACGGGUGAGUAACGCGUGGGGAAUCUGCCUUUGAGCGGGGGACAACAUUUGGAAACGAAUGCUAAUACCGCAUAACAACUUUAAACAUAAGUUUUAAGUUUGAAAGAUGCAAUUGCAUCACUCAAAGAUGAUCCCGCGUUGUAUUAGCUAGUUGGUGAGGUAAAGGCUCACCAAGGCGAUGAUACAUAGCCGACCUGAGAGGGUGAUCGGCCACAUUGGGACUGAGACACGGCCCAAACUCCUACGGGAGGCAGCAGUAGGGAAUCUUCUGCAAUGGACGAAAGUCUGACCGAGCAACGCCGCGUGAGUGAAGAAGGUUUUCGGAUCGUAAAACUCUGUUGGUAGAGAAGAACGUUGGUGAGAGUGGAAAGCUCAUCAAGUGACGGUAACUACCCAGAAAGGGACGGCUAACUACGUG